Molecule: ribosomal RNA, 310 nt
Filed under: uncultured eukaryote
Lineage: Eukaryota
Description: partial 18S ribosomal RNA
Rfam family: Eukaryotic small subunit ribosomal RNA
Source: RNAcentral
CUCUUAGAUGUUCUGGGCUGCACGCGUGCUACACUGAUUAUUUCAACAAGUGUUUUAACUGGAGAGUUCGCGUAAUCCUGAAAUGUUAUCGUGAUGGGAGUAGAGUAUUGUAUUUGUUAAUCUUUAACGAGGAAUUCCUAGCAAGUGUAGGUUUAUAAGUUGUUCUGAUUACGUCCCUGCCCUUUGUACACACCGCCCGUCGCUCCUACCGAUUGAUUGAUCCGGUGAAUUACAUAGAAUUUUGCGUUUUACAUGACGGAAGACGAAGUGUUUUAAACCUUAUCAUUUAGAGGAAGGAGAAGUCGUAACA